This 1082-nucleotide long non-coding RNA is filed under the name Homo sapiens (human). RNAcentral describes it as "HSALNT0309994". Lineage: Eukaryota; Metazoa; Chordata; Mammalia; Primates; Hominidae. The record is from RNAcentral.
UGACAUUUUAAUAAAAGAAUGUAAUUAAAUAUUUUUAUCACCAAUAAACAGUGAAUAAUUAUUCUUAUUUUCAUUAUAGUGAAGUCUUUAAAAAAUUAAAAUUAAAAUACAUAUUUCUCUCAUGUUUAGAAAUUGAUAUGGCAAAAAAAUCAAAGCUAUAUUCAUUUAGAAGAAAAGAUGAUAUAGAAUGUUACCUCAGAACUAGAAAUAACCUUAGAUAUAUUUUCUUUUUAAUUAUUUUAAAAGAAUAGACAAGAACAUGUUCUUUUAUUCAACUUGAACAUAUUAAUAUCUGUGUAUCAGUUAACUUUUGCUUUGUAAUAAGCCACGCCAAAUGUGAGUGUAAUAAAAUAUCAAAUAAUCAUGUAUUUAGUUGACAAAUCUGUGGGUUAACAACUUACGAUGGGCUCAAAUGGGUCUUCUUUUGGUUUUUGCCUGGGUGCACUGCAACUUCGAUGAGCUGAGUCAUCUGAGACAUGACUAGUCUAGAACAUUCGUAACUGAGACAACUGUGCUGCCAUGGCUGUGGUCCAAAUGUUACCCUCUGUGAGUCUGGGUUCUUUUACAUGGUGGCUGCUCAGGGUUCCAAGAAAACAAAAGACAGAAGAAUGCAGCAUUUCUUGAUGCCAACGCUUGGAACUGCUACAUUGCCAUUUCUAUUAUUUCUUCAUUACAAGCAGAGUAAAAGGCCUCCUCAAUGCUAAGAGGUGCACUUUCUACUACAACCAAGUGAUCAAAUUUUGCAUCACUCAUAAUGAGACCAACUGAAAUAAUACACCUCUGGAUGACAAAAGAAAGCAUAGAAUAUUACUCAUGUCCUUUUCUUGCCAUAAUGUUUAAUCUUAAUCUAAUCCUGAGGAAACAAUCACAAAGUUCCAACUGGGAACCCUUCUCCAUGGCCUGGGAUCUUCAAGAACGUCAACGUGAUAAAAGUAAAAAAUGUGAGGAAAAUGUUCUAAUUAAAAGAAGCGAGAGAUUGCAUAGUAAACACAAUGUUGGUUUGAUAUUUUAAAACUCAGAUAUAAAAAAUUUUGGGGGGUUUGUUGAAUAAACUUGAACAUAGAUUAUAAUGAAGUAUUGUG